AGACAUAAAAUCCUCUAAACAAAGGCGCACAUAUUAAAAUAAUAUAGAAAUUAAUACUAUUUUCUUAGUAUUAUUUGAGAAUAUCCAUUUUUUUUAGUAGAUUAUUGCAUAGUAUUCUUUUUCACUUAAAUGAAUUUUUGUAUUUGUAAUUCAUUGAUAUUGCAAUUUGAAUAUUGCAAUAAUUUAUAUUGAAAAGACGAUAGCCAAUUUAUUGGCUAAUUCGAAUUCGUCUGUACAAUUCGUAAAAUUCUUUCUUAUUUCUUAUUGUUGAAAUCCAAAAUUAAAGUCUCUUGGCUCUCUUCACGCUUUCUCACAAACAGAUUAAAAAAUAGAUUUUUAUUUUUGAAGUUUGGAUAAACCAUUGCUUCGUCUGGUGUCUACAAUACAUAUAACUCAUUAUAGUACUAAUUUCAUUUUUACCAGAUCGAAAAAUUUUAUGUUGAAAAGAAAAAUUUAUAGAUCCAAUGUCACAUUCCGUAAAAAUUU
This 486-nucleotide ribosomal RNA is filed under the name Triticum aestivum (bread wheat). Its description in RNAcentral is "partial small subunit ribosomal RNA". The record is from RNAcentral. Lineage: Eukaryota; Viridiplantae; Streptophyta; Magnoliopsida; Poales; Poaceae.